GAUGAACGCUAGCGACAGGCUUAACACAUGCAAGUCGAGGGGCAGCACAGGUAGCAAUACCGGGUGGCGACCGGCGCACGGGUGAGUAACGCGUAUGCAACUUACCUAUCAGAGGGGGAUAACCCGGCGAAAGUCGGACUAAUACCGCAUGAAGCAGGGGUCCCGCAUGGGGAUAUUUGCUAAAGAUUCAUCGCUGAUAGAUAGGCAUGCGUUCCAUUAGGCAGUUGGCGGGGUAACGGCCCACCAAACCGACGAUGGAUAGGGGUUCUGAGAGGAAGGUCCCCCACAUUGGUACGGAGACACGGACCAAACUCCUACGGGAGGCAGCAGUGGGGAAUAUUGGUCAAUGGCCGAGAGGCUGAACCAGCCAAGUCGCGUGAGGGAUGAAGGUUCUAUGGAUCGUAAACCUCUUUUAUAAGGGAAUAAAGUGCGGGACGUGUCCCGUUUUGUAUGUACCUUAUGAAUAAGAAUCGGCUAACUCCGUG
Molecule: ribosomal RNA, 485 nt
Filed under: uncultured bacterium
Lineage: Bacteria
Description: partial 16S ribosomal RNA
Rfam family: Bacterial small subunit ribosomal RNA
Source: RNAcentral